AUGGAGUUGGGUAGUAGUGCUACCAUGUCUCGAGAGCUGGUCGUCCUAGCGUUCACGUACGUGCUUGUCCACUAUCUCACAGGGGUCAUUCUCCGGAGCAAACGGGCGUCGCUGCCUUUGCCACCCUGCCCGCGGGGCUACCCGGUGGUUGGAGCGCUGCCCCUGCUGGGCCGGGCACCGCACCGAGCACUCGCAGCCCUGGCUAGGCUGCACGGCCCCAUCAUGCACCUGACCCUUGGAAGGCAAGGCCUCGUCGUCGCUUCCACGCCAGAGUCGGCGCGCCUCCUGCUCAAGGACCACGGCGGCAGCUUCCUCGACCCCCCGGUGGACGACGGCGCGCCAAAGGUGCUGGCGUACGGCGCCCAGGACCUUGUUUUCGCGCCCUAUGGCCCCAAGUGGCGCCGCCUGCUCCGGGAGUUCAGCGCGGGCCUCCUUGACCCCAAGGCGCUCGCCGACUGGGCCGACACGCGCCACGGGGAGGUCGGCCGUAUGGUCCGUGCGAUGAGCCGGCGGGGCGAGGCAUUGGAGGUACCGGAGUUUCUGUUCGGCGCAAUGGCAAACAUGAUUGGACAGGCGGUGGUGGGUCGGCGAGUGCUCGACGAGGCUGGCGGCGAGGCCACGAGGGAGUUCAAGGAGAUGGUGGUGGAGCUGAUGACCACGGCGGGGUUGGUGAACAUCGGCGACUUUGUGCCGGCAGUAGCAUGGAUGGACCUGCAGGGACUCGGCCGGAGGAUGCGGCGGCUAACAACAAGGCUGGACAGGGCCUGGAGCCGGUUGCUGUCCGAUCACGAGGUGGCCAUGGCUAACAGGAAGCAAGACGGGAGGCGCCGUACAAACCUUGUCGACCGGCUGAUCGCAUGUCGUGGCCAUGCGGAGGACGGGGGGACGGCGUCACAGACCUCAACAUCAAAGCUGUACUUAACAACCUGUUCACAGCGGGGAAGACACUUCGUCGAGCACAAUCGAGUGGGCGCUGGCCGAUAU
Molecule: ribosomal RNA, 984 nt
Filed under: Triticum aestivum (bread wheat)
Lineage: Eukaryota; Viridiplantae; Streptophyta; Magnoliopsida; Poales; Poaceae
Description: partial small subunit ribosomal RNA
Source: RNAcentral